CGCCUUGCCAGCCCGCUCAGAAACUUAAAGGAAUUGACGGGACCCCGCACAAGCGGUGGAUCAUGUUGUUUAAUUCGAUGAUACGCGAAGAACCUUACCAGGUCUUGACAUCCCCCGCGAUGCUUUAGAGAUAAAGCGGAGGUAUUCGGGGAGACAGGUGGUGCAUGGUUGUCGUCAGCUCGUGUCGUGAGAUGUUGGGUUAAGUCCCGCAACGAGCGCAACCCCUAUUGCUAGUUACCAUCAUUAAGUUGGGGACUCUAGCGAGACUGCCAGUGAUAAACUGGAGGAAGGUGGGGAUGACGUCAAAUCAUCAUGCCCCUUAUGACCUGGGCUACAAACGUGAUACAAUGGCUGGAACAAAGGGAUGCGAAGCAGUGAUGUGGAGCGAAACCCAUAAAAACAGUCUCAGUUCGGAUUGAAGUCUGCAACUCGACUUCAUGAAGUCGGAAUCGCUAGUAAUCGCGGAUCAGAACGCCGCGGUGAAUACGUUCUCGGGGUUU
This 500-nucleotide ribosomal RNA is filed under the name uncultured Acholeplasma sp. RNAcentral describes it as "bacterial SSU rRNA". It matches the Rfam family "Bacterial small subunit ribosomal RNA", at positions 903 to 1382 of the family's 1533-position model. The record is from RNAcentral. Lineage: Bacteria; Bacillati; Mycoplasmatota; Mollicutes; Acholeplasmatales; Acholeplasmataceae.